RNAcentral lists this long non-coding RNA (1235 nucleotides) under Lactuca sativa (garden lettuce). RNAcentral's name for it is "long non-coding RNA (LSAT_LNC001677)". Lineage: Eukaryota; Viridiplantae; Streptophyta; Magnoliopsida; Asterales; Asteraceae. The record is from RNAcentral.
CUCACUAUAAUUGAUGUAUUAGGAAAACACUUUAUUUGCAAUUUUCUUUUUUACCGCACUUAAAAAUCAAUCUGAAAAGUGAAAUGUAAAAUUCCGAAUCAGAAAAACAAAAAAUAAAAAUUUGGAUGACUGGAAUUUAAAAUCUAAAACUGAUAAUAUGUUAUAAUCAUAAUUGUAAUUACCUUUUCAAAAUUUGUAAAAUCUGGAACUGCUAACCUUAUUUGUAGUUUACCUCUUAAAAAAAAUGUAAAAUGGAUACCGAAUGAGUCUCCGACUAAAACUAAAAUUCUGUAAACAAAUAAAAUCAGAAGAGAUGUUAAAAUCAAAAUCAUAUACGACAUCUAUCUCUUAUGAAGGAUAAAAUAAACGUAUAAUACCUCUGAUUAUUAGAAAGAAUGAAAUAAGACAUUCUCUUCUUCCUUCCUGUUCUCUUCUGUUUUCUUUUCUUAGGCAACAAGGUUGCAUCAGGUAUCAGUUAGAUACCUUACAUCCACAAAAUAAUGGCAAUCCUUGAAGAUUCUUUUCUGGAAGAUCUUUAGGAUCUAUCCGACAAUGAUAAUGAGAACCUGGAUGAAGACAAUGGAGAUGCAGUGAACAUGGAAGAAGAUCUCAGUAAAGACUUAAACGAUAUACAAGCCCUCAACUACGAUGACUCAGACAGUGUCUCAAAGUUACAAAAAACACAACGUUACACAGACAUCAUGAACAAAGUCGAAAUAGCCCUUGAAAAAGGGUCAGAUAUGUCAAGCCAAACCAUGGUUCUAGAAGACGAUCCAGAACACCAACUAUUAGUCUUGACUUAGAAGGUCUGUUACCUUUAGCCAUCAUAAUGGUUGUUUCCAUCACAGCCUCAACCACAACCGGAAAACCAAUUCCCGAAAAUACCCUCUCAGAAAACCAUCGAAGCAUGUGAUCGUUCACUUACUUUAGAUUCUUCAAAAAAGAAAGUUCUUGAUUUUGUCUAAAGAAGAAUGGGCUACAUUGCACCGAAUCUUUCCGCCAUUGUUGGAAGUGGAGUUGCUGCAAAACUUAUGGGGACAGCCGGCGGGCUUACACCACUCGCAAAGAUGCCAGCUUGUAUCGGUUGCUCAAAGCAAAGUCGCUGCUAAAGUUGCCAAAAAGGGCAAAGAUAAACGAUAUAGAAGUGGUGGGGAUACCUCUGGAUUGACUUCAAGUUUUGCGUUCACACCUGUUCAGGGGAUUGAUCUUAUAGAUCCACAGGCAGAUGCUAAUAG